Molecule: small nucleolar RNA, 138 nt
Filed under: Ornithorhynchus anatinus (platypus)
Lineage: Eukaryota; Metazoa; Chordata; Mammalia; Monotremata; Ornithorhynchidae
Source: RNAcentral
CCCCUCUUAGGAUCACACCUGGAGAGUUUCCAGUACUCUACCAGUUUCAGCUACAGGAGGGAGAGUCAAGCAGAGGCAUACCCAUUCCAUUCCUAGCUUGGCCAGAGGCUAGCAGGUGGAAGGCAAUCUUCUACAAGU